CACGCCGUAAACUAAUGCUCGCUAGGUGUCAGGCAUGGCGCGACCGUGUCUGGUGCCGCAGGAAGCCGUGAAGCGAGCCACCUGGGAAGUACGGCCGCAAGGCUGAAACUUAAAGGAAUUGGCGGGGGAGGCACCGCAACGGGAGGAGCGUGCGGUUUAAUUGGACUCAACGCCGGGAAGCUCACCGGAUAAGACAGCGGAAUGAUUGCCGGGCUGAAGACUCUGCAUGACUAGCUGAGAGGAGGUGCAUGGCGUAGACGUCU
This 263-nucleotide ribosomal RNA is filed under the name uncultured archaeon. Its description in RNAcentral is "partial 16S ribosomal RNA". It matches the Rfam family "Archaeal small subunit ribosomal RNA", at positions 747 to 1009 of the family's 1478-position model. The record is from RNAcentral.